UUCACCCCAAGGAUCUGCAGAACAAAAGGGUCAGAUGCUUAAGCUUUUGUUUUCAAAGGGCAAAGUCCAGAUUUAAUUAGUCUGCCUUAUUAACAUAAGGCUACCCUACAGCAAAAAUUGAACCAGAAAUGUCAGUAGCUCAGCAAAAACAAACUUAUUUGAGUUGAGCCUUCCUCCUCCAUCUUUUAGCAGCAUCAUUUGGAACACACAGCCUUGAAGGUCAGUGUAACAAAGGAAGAAAGAGAAUGAAGAGUUCACAUUCCAUCUAACAUUCUUCAGCCUGUAGAGUAUUCUGCUCAGGCUUUCAUAACAAGAUACCACAAACUGGAUCGCUCAAACAGCAGAGAUUUGUUUCUCACUAUUCUAGAGGCUAGAAGUCCAAAAUCGAGGUUGUCAGCAUGUAUAGUUUCUCCUGCGGCGUCUCUCCUAGACCUGGGCCUCCUUCCGUCCUCCUGUGGUCUUGUGUCUACUUGCACCCCUGGUAUAGACUGGACACCUUAAACUCAGGGGAAAGUAUGAUUGUCUCCACGGUACAAUGAAGAAAUCAAGGUGAAAAGAAGUCCCAAAGACAAGCUCAUGCUGCUAGUCAGUGGAAGCAUCAAGAUCAGAAGUCAUGUGACCUGACUUCCUGGGCAGUACCUUCCACUUAACCAGGAACUUGGGUAGAAAAUAAACAUUUAUAUCUUCA
This is a long non-coding RNA of Odocoileus virginianus texanus, 688 nucleotides long. RefSeq lists it as uncharacterized. The record is from RefSeq and is a predicted model, not a curated record. Lineage: Eukaryota; Metazoa; Chordata; Mammalia; Artiodactyla; Cervidae.